GGAUGAACGCUAGCUACAGGCUUAACACAUGCAAGUCGAGGGGCAGCAUCAUCAAAGCUUGCUUUGAUGGAUGGCGACCGGCGCACGGGUGAGUAACACGUAUCCAACCUGCCGACAACACUGGGAUAGCCUUUCGAAAGAAAGAUUAAUACCGGAUGGCAUAGUUUUCCCGCAUGGGAUAAUUAUUAAAGAAUUUCGGUUGUCGAUGGGGAUGCGUUCCAUUAGGCAGUUGGCGGGGUAACGGCCCACCAAACCUACGAUGGAUAGGGGUUCUGAGAGGAAGGUCCCCCACAUUGGAACUGAGACACGGUCCAAACUCCUACGGGAGGCAGCAGUGAGGAAUAUUGGUCAAUGGACGAGAGUCUGAACCAGCCAAGUAGCGUGAAGGAUGACUGCCCUAUGGGUUGUAAACUUCUUUUAUACGGGAAUAAAGUGAGCCACGUGUGGCUUUUUGUAUGUACCGUAUGAAUAAGGAUCGGCUAACUCCGUGCCAGCAGCCGCGGUAAUACGGAGGAUUCGAGCGUUAUCCGGAUUUAUUGGGUUUAAAGGGAGCGUACGCGGGUUGUUAAGUCAGUUGUGAAAGUUUGCGGCUCAACCGUAAAAUUGCAGUUGAUACUGGCAACCUUGAGUGCAACAGAGGUAGGCGGAAUUCGUGGUGUAGCGGUGAAAUGCUUAGAUAUCACGAAGAACUCCGAUUGCGAAGGCAGCUUACUGGAUUGUAACUGACGCUGAUGCUCGAAAGUGUGGGUAUCAAACAGGAUUAGAUACCCUGGUAGUCCACACAGUAAACGAUGAAUACUCGCUGUUGGCGAUAUACAGUCAGCGGCCAAGCGAAAGCAUUAAGUAUUCCACCUGGGGAGUACGCCGGCAACGGUGAAACUCAAAGGAAUUGACGGGGGCCCGCACAAGCGGAGGAACAUGUGGUUUAAUUCGAUGAUACGCGAGGAACCUUACCCGGGCUUAAAUUGCAACUGACGGAACCGGAAACGGUUCUUUCUUCGGACAGUUGUGAAGGUGCUGCAUGGUUGUCGUCAGCUCGUGCCGUGAGGUGUCGGCUUAAGUGCCAUAACGAGCGCAACCCUUACGGGUAGUUACCAUCAGGUUAUGCUGGGGACUCUACCCGGACUGCCGUCGUAAGAUGUGAGGAAGGUGGGGAUGACGUCAAAUCAGCACGGCCCUUACGUCCGGGGCUACACACGUGUUACAAUGGGGGGUACAGAAGGCAGCUACACGGCGACGUGGUGCUAAUCCCAAAAGCCUCUCUCAGUUCGGAUUGGAGUCUGCAACCCGACUCCAUGAAGCUGGAUUCGCUAGUAAUCGCGCAUCAGCCACGGCGCGGUGAAUACGUUCCCGGGCCUUGUACACACCGCCCGUCAAGCCAUGAAAGCCGGGGGUACCUGAAGUACGUAACCGCGAGGAGCGUCCUAGGGUAA
RNAcentral lists this ribosomal RNA (1433 nucleotides) under uncultured organism. RNAcentral's name for it is "SSU rRNA". It matches the Rfam family "Bacterial small subunit ribosomal RNA". The record is from RNAcentral.